Molecule: ribosomal RNA, 547 nt
Filed under: uncultured Glomus
Lineage: Eukaryota; Fungi; Glomeromycota; Glomeromycetes; Glomerales; Glomeraceae
Description: SSU rRNA
Rfam family: Eukaryotic small subunit ribosomal RNA
Source: RNAcentral
UUGGAGGGCAAGUCUGGUGCCAGCAGCCGCGGUAAUUCCAGCUCCAAUAGCGUAUAUUAAAGUUGUUGCAGUUAAAAAGCUCGUAGUUGAAUUUCGGGAUCAGUAGGUUGGUCAUGCCUAUGGUAUGCACUGGCUUUACUGGUUCCUCCUUCUUGAUGAUCUGUAAUGUCAUUAAUUUGGUGUUGCAGGGAGUCAGGACUGUUACUUUGAAAAAAUUAGAGUGUUUAAAGCAGGCAUACGCUUGAAUACAUUAGCAUGGAAUAAUGAAAUAGGACGUUCGAUCCUAUUUUGUUGGUUUCUAGGAUUGACGUAAUGAUUAAUAGGGAUAGUUGGGGGCAUUAGUAUUCAAUUGUCAGAGGUGAAAUUCUUGGAUUUAUUGAAGACUAACUACUGCGAAAGCAUUUGCCAAGGAUGUUUUCAUUAAUCAAGAACGAAAGUUAGGGGAUCGAAGACGAUCAGAUACCGUCGUAGUCUUAACCAUAAACUAUGCCGACUAGGGAUCGGAUGAUGUUAUUUUUAAUGACUCAUUCGGCGCCUUACGGGAAAC